GACGAACGCUGGCGGCGUGCUUAACACAUGCAAGUCGAACGGAAAGGCCCUGCUUUUGUGGGGUGCUCGAGGGGCGAACGGGUGACUAACACGUGAGUACCCUGCCCUUGACUUUGGGAUAACUUCAGGAAACUGGGGCUAAUACCGGAUAGGAGCUCCUGCUUCAUGGUGGGGGUGCGAAAGUUUCGGCGGUUGGGAGUGGACUCGCGGCCUAUCAGCAUGAUGGUGGGGUAGUGGCUGAGCAAGGCUUUGACGGGUAGCCGGCGUGAGAGGGUGAGCGGGCUCAUUGGGACUGAGACUGGGACACGACUCAGACGCGAGCCAGAAGUGGCGAAUAUUGCAAAAGGGGAGGAAGCGUGAUGCAGCACCGCCGAGUGCGCGAUGACGGCCUUCGGGUUGUAAUUCUCAUUCGCCUGUGCCCAAGCGUGAGAGACCGUAAUGGGUAGAGAAGGCCCCGCUAACUACCUG
This 468-nucleotide ribosomal RNA is filed under the name uncultured bacterium. RNAcentral describes it as "partial 16S ribosomal RNA". It matches the Rfam family "Bacterial small subunit ribosomal RNA", at positions 28 to 507 of the family's 1533-position model. The record is from RNAcentral.